GAUGAACGCUAGCGGGAGGCCUAACACAUGCAAGCCGAGCGGUAGAGUUCCUUCAGGAACUUGAGAGCGGCGUACGGGUGCGUAACACGUGUGCAACCUACCUUUAUCUGGGGGAUAGCCUUUCGAAAGGAAGAUUAAUACCCCAUAAUAUAAUGAUUGGCAUCAAUUAUUAUUGAAAACUCCGGUGGAUAGAGAUGGGCACGCGCAAGAUUAGAUAGUUGGUGAGGUAACGGCUCACCAAGUCAAUGAUCUUUAGGGGUCCUGAGAGGGAGAUCCCCCACACUGGUACUGAGACACGGACCAGACUCCUACGGGAGGCAGCAGUGAGGAAUAUUGGACAAUGGGUGAAAGCCUGAUCCAGCCAUCCCGCGUGAAGGAUGACGGUCCUAUGGAUUGUAAACUUCUUUUGUACAGGGAUAAACCUACUCUCGUGAGGGUAGCUGAAGGUACUGUACGAAUAAGCACCGGCUAACUCCGUG
This 479-nucleotide ribosomal RNA is filed under the name uncultured bacterium. Its description in RNAcentral is "partial 16S ribosomal RNA". It matches the Rfam family "Bacterial small subunit ribosomal RNA", at positions 28 to 507 of the family's 1533-position model. The record is from RNAcentral.